RNAcentral lists this unclassified non-coding RNA (322 nucleotides) under uncultured fungus. RNAcentral describes it as "partial contains 5.8S ribosomal RNA and internal transcribed spacer 2". The stretch from base 1 to 133 matches the Rfam family "5.8S ribosomal RNA", at positions 22 to 154 of the family's 154-position model. Lineage: Eukaryota; Fungi. The record is from RNAcentral.
UGGUUCUGGCAUCGAUGAAGAACGCAGCGAAAUGCGAUAAGUAAUGUGAAUUGCAGAAUUCAGUGAAUCAUCGAAUCUUUGAACGCAUAUUGCGCCCUUUGGUAUUCCGAAGGGCAUGCCUGUUCGAGCGUUAUUAUCAACUAUCAAGCCUGGCUUGUUAUUAGACUCUUGGUUCUAGGACCGGUCUUAAAGAUAAUAGGUAAGACCUCAUGGCUCUCAGUAUAACAAGCUUUUUUAUAGCAUAUAUCUGUAGACCUGUGGUCCUACCUUUAAACCCCAAUUUUCUCAGGUUAACCUCGGAUCAGGUAGGAAUACCCGCUGA